RNAcentral lists this small RNA (453 nucleotides) under Drosophila ananassae. Its description in RNAcentral is "GF27498". Lineage: Eukaryota; Metazoa; Arthropoda; Insecta; Diptera; Drosophilidae. The record is from RNAcentral.
CAGCUUUACAUACUUUACUUUCAUUCAGUCUUUCAGGCAAUAGACAUCUACAUUUGUUGUCUAGUCUCAAAUUAUUUUUCGUUUGAUUCAAACUUCCAUACGGAUUAAUCAUGUGCAGUGGACCUUGUGGAUCUUGCUGUGGACUUUGCGGUGGUUGCUGUGGUCCUUGCGGACCUCGCUGCGGGCCAUGUGGAUCGUGUUGUGGACCUUGCUAUGUGUCAUGCUGCGGACCUUGUGGCCCCUGCGGAGGGUGUUGUUGGUGCUGAAUAGAUUUCUUGAUUUAGAGCUUUAUCCCAGUAUCUUCAGCAAACUAAAAUACACACGUCGAUCAUAGAUUCAUCAUAAUGGAUAGCACCAUUUCAGGACAAGAAACCAAUUAGAUUACUUAUCCGGCCAAUCAAACGAAAUAAUUUGAGACGAUUCAACGAAUAAAUAAAAUUGUACACCUUCAAA